CAUGCAAGUCGAGCGGGGGAGAUUGCUUCGGURAUUGACCUAGCGGCGGACGGGUGAGUAAUACUUAGGAAUCUGCCUAUUAAUGGGGGACAACAUCUCGAAAGGGAUGCUAAUACCGCAUACGCCCUACGGGGGAAAGCAGGGGAUCACUUGUGACCUUGCGUUAAUAGAUGAGCCUAAGUCGGAUUAGCUAGUUGGUGGGGUAAAGGCCUACCAAGGCGACGAUCUGUAGCGGGUCUGAGAGGAUGAUCCGCCACACUGGGACUGAGACACGGCCCAGACUCCUACGGGAGGCAGCAGUGGGGAAUAUUGGACAAUGGGGGGAACCCUGAUCCAGCCAUGCCGCGUGUGUGAAGAAGGCCUUAUGGUUGUAAAGCACUUUAAGCGAGGAGGAGGCUCCUGUAGUUAAUACCUACAGUGAGUGGACGUUACUCGCAGWAUAAGCACCGGCUAA
RNAcentral lists this ribosomal RNA (454 nucleotides) under Acinetobacter lwoffii. Its description in RNAcentral is "bacterial SSU rRNA". It matches the Rfam family "Bacterial small subunit ribosomal RNA", at positions 54 to 500 of the family's 1533-position model. The record is from RNAcentral. Lineage: Bacteria; Pseudomonadati; Pseudomonadota; Gammaproteobacteria; Moraxellales; Moraxellaceae.